AAAAGUGAGAAGAAGAUCUAGGAGGAAAAAUGCAGCCAAGUGCAAUGGACAAGAUGGUCAGAUGACAGCUUUGAGCACGCAAAUCCAUUCUGUAUUCUGCCCAGAGUGCCAGGGUACUGGUGCAAUCAUUGAUGGAGAUGACCUGGAGAAACCAAAUCUCCCUCUGUCUCAGGUUUGUACUUUGCAGGACAAUUUUUUAAUUGAAUCGUUGUCUUAUUAUUUAUACAUUUCCUUGCCUUUUUUAUUUUUCCUUAUUGGCCUUUUGUGUUGACUGAAGUAGUGGUUUCCCAAUUUGGGAGAAAAACAAUCAAGCACACGUUUUUAUUAUCAAUUUUUGGCAAGCAAAGUAGAGUUAUUAGUUUUUCAUGAUUGUGAUAGAGCAUGCUUAUGAUGAGUCUUGACUCAUCAUCGUGAGCACAUGCUUAUCAGAAAACUAUCUUCUGGUAUCACAGAGAGGUGUAGGCUGGGAAGAAAGAAACCUUAGCAAUAUGCUAUCUCUAAACCUUAGAUUCUUUGUUAAUAUCACAGAUGUUCAAGUAUAAGAUAAAGGUGAGUGAUGCACGUAGAGCAUGGAUGAAGAGUCCUGAAAUGUUGGCGAAUUGCUCGACAGGUUUUCAUUUCCCUUCCCAAUACGAAGAAGGAAUCCAAGUUUCUGUAGGUUUCUCCACCAGAUUUCCUUUUUAAUUGAGGAUAACAAUGAUCAUAACAAACUCAAGUUUGCCUUUGUGAUUUUGAUGCUAGGAAAAGGUGAAACCAUUAAAGUUGAUGCAUUUCUACAGGGCAGAUUAAUAGAGUUCGCUUCAAGAACACUGGGAACCAUGCGGUCGGUUGUUUUAGCUUCUCACCGUAGCACCUUCUUGUUGUAUGUUUCACUUCUAACGUGCACCUUCUUGUUGUAUGUGACUGGCUCAUGAGUAGGACUUUGGAGUGGACAGGCAUAGGUUGUAUGGGACUGUUAGCUAUUGUGGAUAGUUUGGAUUAGUUUGCUUGAUGAGAUAUAUUUGUACAUACCUGUUGCUAACACAGGUACAUAUAUGUUGUAUACAUUGCUGAUAUAUGUCUGCAUAAUGCAAUUAUUUAUGUAUAAAUGAAUGAUUUAUGUUGUAUACAUUGCUCGUAUGUUGAGGUCAAAGAUGCUUGCUCGGAGGACACAAUUGUCUUUUAAUAUUUUUUGUUUUUGUUUAUAUAUACAUCUUCCCAUGACCAUAUUUCAGAAAACUCAAUAAAACUACUACAAUCUCCAUUGCCCACAUGAAUCUUUAAGCGGGGACAAUUCCUAAACCCCAUGAGCUCCCCAUGACCAUAAUGAAUUGCCAAAGGGGAGCACCAAUUCUAUUAGCACUAUUAUUUCAUUGUAUGCAAGGGGCUUGUAGUUCAAGUGAUUAAUAGCAUUUACUCAUGCACUCGAAGCCCUGGUUUGAUUUUUUCAUUCUCCAAUAUCGCUUGUAUAGGGCUUCGAUUUUCCCUUUCUCUAAUAUCGCUUGUAUAGGGCUUCGAUUUUCCCUUUCUCUAAUAUCGCUUGUAUAUGAGAAAAUAUAUAUAUAUAUUUAUAUAUUUGUAUAUGCAUAUCCAAUAGUGACAAUUUUAAUACAAUCUCAAAAAGUAUCUUAACAAAUAAAUUUUGGUUUGGAUAAAAUUAACUUCAUUAUAAUACAAUCCUUAACAUUUUUAAGGGACAACUUAUUUUGUUUAAAAGUUGGGAUAACCUAACUCGAAACUCGGGACUCCAAACCCCAGAUAUGGGACUUUAGCCUCGGAGUUCUUCGGAUGUGGAAAUCAAACGCUAGGAGAUAAUAUCAUUGAAUUGGUUCAAAAAUUUUAUUUCUAUUUGAAGUCAUGAUACAAAAACGAUCAUAUCAUUCAAUCUAUGAAUAACAAUCCAAUCUAAUCAUAUGUGUUAAACCAUAGGCCAUAUUUUGGCAUUCUUAUCCAAGUAAUGCUACACUUAACACAUUAUUAUCCCACAUUUCUAUACCACAUGAUGUGGCAUGUCCAUAUUAUAUGCCACAUCAAUUAAAUCAAUGAAGUGCAUUUUAAUUAAGACAAUUAGAAAAACAAAAAUUGGAAUAAAUCAUAAAAGAAAAGAAAAUUAUUAAAUAAUUUUAAUUGAUGUGGUUGUGCAUCUCAGCUGCCACGUAAGAUGGUAUAAGGAUGUGGUAUACAAAUGUGGUAAGAGUAGCAUUAUUCUUCUUAUCCUCCACAUGAUCUACAUGUCAUGAUCUUUAGGACUGAUGGGCCAUUUCGAUAUGUUAUGAUUUCCAAGGGGUUGGGUUUUGCUGGCAAUUUUGCCCUGAAAAUAGGGUAUUUACUCAUGAUAAAGAAAAGAAGAGGAAAAAUUCAAUAAACAAUUUACAUAAAAGAUUGGGCUCAUUCUUCAAACUUGAAAGAAAAAAUUUGGCCCAUUGGCUGCACCGCAGAGGUUUAUUGCCCUUCUUUCUGACCACUGCUGAGCUUUUUCGUUUAUAUCCACUGAAAUCUUAAACCCUUAAACCUAAGCCACUUUUGUUGAUAGCUCAUACUAUCACUACGAGCCGAGCCUAUCUCGAACCGCCACGUAGCUAUAGCAGACUGGGUCACUUAUAUACCGACCCGAUCGUACAAGGGAUACCAUCACCAAUCUUCCUAGUCAGAACACAGCAGACUCAAAGAAGGGGCCAAUGCUCAAAUAACCAAGAACCUACCCGAGCACAGGGCUGGGCCUUCCGACCAGAGGUAUAUUACGAACUGAUAGACCCGACCAAGCUCCUGUCAGGUCCAUCACUUCGCCCCUAAAGCUAAACAGCCUGGCAAGCGAGAAGGGUUGAUUAAAUACACAUCUCAUCCCCAAAUAUGUGUUGCCCUGACCAUUGAUCUCCGAAUGAUCUGGUUGAUAAUGGAGAGAGAUCAUUUAAGGCACCUCCCAUCCUUGGCCGCUUGUCACUUCGCCACAUAACCUCUGACCAGCAACAUGGCAAGUGAAGACAGUACAUUAUAUAUAUAUAUCCUUCACCUACACCAGGACAAAGGUAAUAAAUCCCCUCAUUGUGAAAACCCUACAUCCAUUUUUUCUCCAGCCCAGAUUAGUUUCUGACUGAACCAUCAAAGAGGGUUAGACUGGGAUCAGUCUCAGUCCGCCCCUAUUCUGAUAUUGUUUGAAGUGUUCAGAGCUACCCUCGGACAUUAUACGGGCCCAAGUCCCCGGAGAGGGCCUAAGUAUCUGUACGAGAAGGAUACGCGGUUUACAUUGGCGCCGUCUAUGGGAAUCCACUUUAUUUGCGAACAGAAGCCGCAUCUCCUAACCUAUCCGAGCACCAACGUGAAUGAAACCAAGCUAUGUUAAGGAAUCAACACCUCAGAAAGAAAGCCUCCACGAGCGCGGCUGGGAGAAAUGCCCAGAGGCGAAAGAGAGAUAAGUUAAGAUCAGGUCGCCCGAGGGGCCUGGAGGAAAAGAUGAGCCGAAUUCUAAAAUGCGUUAAAGACGUACAGAAUCUUAGCAAAUGCCUCCGCGCGCAAAAUGAGAUACUGCAAGAGAAUCAUGCCGAGCUAGCGGACCAGGUGCGUGCGCAACAGGAACCCGAGCCGACCAACACUAAGGACACUGACGGAGCCUCGUCCUCGUCGACAGCGGCUAAAAUGCCAAGUAGAGCGUGGCCGACUCAAGAAGCAUACUGAAGGAAAAAAAAAGCCUGGUGAGAGCGCAACAAAAGCCUGGUGGGAAACCUUCGCAAAGGAAAAAAACAGGCCGGCUUUGAUGAAGCCGAGGAAGAGGUCGAUGGCAUCACCUCCAGGCUUAGAGACUUGGUCACUGGCGAGUUGAGAAGUGUGUGGGAUCGGCUUGGGCAAGUCGAGAAAUCCAAAAUGCCCAGAGGACCAGAGAUAACCGAAGAAGAGAUCCCGCUACCAUAUACCCAGGACUUGCUGGAUGCUCGGGUAGUUGGGGAUUCGAAGGCUCCGAAAAUCCCUUGUACGAUGGGAUGACCGACCCGUACGACCACCUGGAGCUGUUGAGAAGCAAGAGCUUCAGUCACUGGUUCGACUCUUGAAGGACUUCAGACGCUUCAAUCACGCUCUUGAGGUUCAAAUCUUUCUUACCGACUUCACAGUUUCUUUCCUUGUUUUAUUUUGGUUCUUUGCAACUCUUUUUUUUAUAUAUAUGUUUCUAUAGGUCAAUUCAACCAGUUAUCAAAAAGAUUGGAAUAUAUUAUCUUUUAUUUAUAAACCUACGUAGUUGGAUUGGUAUUUUGUUACUUUCAUCAGUUGCAUGUGAAUGUUGUGUUAUUCAGGUGUCUGCAAUGUAUUAUCGACAAUUUGAAAUUUAAAUGUAUGAACUGUUGACCAUUUUAGAAGCACAAGAUCCAAGCCUUGCUCUUUUAACAUUUCUUGCUUUGAAUUAACCAAUAUGCUGGUUCUCGUGGUUUGAAGUUGGUGAACUGGGGAUGCAAAUGAUGGAUUGCAGCACUACCAAAUAACCAAUGUCACCUGCAAAUCUUUUCUAGCAAAUUGUUAUUGGCACUCUGAAAAAAAAGUCAUAAUGUACUGCUCUUGUGUGAAAACAUAUGGAGAAAAUUCGAUUGCAAGGAGUGUAGGAUGACUAUUUUGGAGUGCCAAUAACAUAUCCUUUUCUUCUUCUUUUUUUGGAUAUACUGUAUUUUUUUCUCCUUAAUUACCGUCAUUUAGGGAAAAUUUGCUAUCAUGCCAUAUUAUCGUUGGUCAAUGAUUUUUAUAUGUUAGAAUUCAUCUCAUUGUUGGCAUGGCCUCUGUCUUGUGGUGAGUGAUUGUUGUUGUGAACUAUAAUUAGAUGACCUAGGUCGGUGUGACCCAGAUUGAUUCCAACCUUACCAAAAAUGUGUUUAGACUGUCUAAUCACUAUGUGUCAUCCUUUUGUUAUUUAGAUAUCCGGAUCGCAGGUAUUUUGAUUUAUCGCCAAUUUGCUUAAUUUGAAUGACGAAAGAUUCUACCAUUGGCUUCAUUUCCAACAAAAGCAGAGAUUCCGACUUCAAAGAUAGUAAAUCAAAACUGCAAACUGGAAGCUGGCAGUAAAACAAAACUGUAAGCAAAAACACACCAUCAAUUGGCUUUAUUUCAAACACAAGCAAAUACAAACAGAGUUUCCAACUUUACAGGAGGACAGUGCAAACUGGAAGCUGGCUGGCUUACUGCUGCGGCUUCUUGUAAGACAGAAUGGAGAGAACUGUUUGUAUCAAGGUCAAUGUUGUAACAAAGACGACAGCAGUCGCAAAAUUCGCCAAUUCCAAUGGAUUUUUAAAAUAUGUACGUAACUGGCUUUGAUACCGAUGCCAUAUAGUAUCACAAUACGCGUUCACAUCCCGAUAGAGUCUCCAGUAACAACAAUUGCGCGGCCUAACAUCAUUGGAAAGACUUCUAAAAAUCAAGGAUAUGUCGUAGCCCAAAUGGUUUUCUAUAAUUCGACACUUAGCGAGACACUCUACAUCUUUGUCAGACGUAAUAAGUUGCUCCAACAACGCAGCAUAAGAGGUAAUUUUACUGGCUGUUUCACACUGUUCAUACGCCACGAGAUUUCUAAACAGAGAUUCUCCAUUCUUAUGAACUCUUAUCCGUGGAAUUCUCAUCACUCCAUUUUUGAAGGUUAUAUCGAACAUGUCCUCUCCAAUUCCACAUUCAAAUAUAAUUCCUAACUUUUCAAGUUCUGUCACAGAGGGCAUACGCAAAGAAGAAGUCCGAUCUAAGUGUUGUGCACGUGAUGGUUGUGCACGUGAUGAGAGCAAAGAGUUUUUUACCAAGUCAAGCAAAUGCUUGCCUUCCAAUGCUUCACGGACGCGUUGCCAGUCCCACAUCCUCAAGGUGUACCCGUCAAAGUAUUCUAGAGUAAGCUCGGAAAGUGAAUACUUCGUACGGGCAUUACUUUCCCGUGUGAGGUCAAACAAACGGUCAAUAACUUUCCAAGGAAGCUGGUUUUCAAGUAGAAGCAAGUCAUUUAUGAGGAUCGGUUGCAUCCAUGCCCUAUGGAACACAGGGUCGUCGUCCUUGAUUGGCACCUUUCCUGAAACUUGCGGAAGAGCUCAAUGAUAAAGCAACCAUCGACCACCAUCAUUUCUACAAACUCAUCACUGGUUAAAUCAAUAUUUUCUUCAUAGCAAUCGCGACAAUAUUGUUCCAUAUCUCUAAUGGCUCCGACAAAAUCCUCUAAGACAGUAGUUGGAGUUGGUUUUCGCUCAAGAAGGCAAUGCAAAUACCAAGAUUUAAUCACUUCCAUGGCUUGGAACUGCAAUCCACGCUGAAAUGGUCCAAUUGAAAGUAAAUGUGGAACAUACACUUCUUCUUUACCCUUAAGCAGCACAUGAGGGAUUCUAAAUAUGCAAUGAUGAGCUCGUGAUGGAGACUGCUGGUGAAGUUUCGCUUGAAUUGAGGAUGCUAAUAUUUCAUUUUCAUGUCUCACAUUAUUUGCAGCCAUCCUAGUAAGGGAAAAUGGAAAUUGUUACAAGCCAAAUGUAAUAAAACUUGUUUGAAACACUAACUCUCAGACCUAAAAAAAUAUUUAAAAAAAACUAACUCGGGUUAAACAUUUUAUUAGUCUCUGAACUUAGACUCGAUUUGCAUUUGAGUUCCACAAUUUUCAAAAUCGUUCCUGUGGUCCUUCAACUUUAGAUUCGUUAUGACAAAUGGUCCUGCCAUCAAUUUUGUUAACUUUUCUGUUGAAUGCAGGGGCAAAAUGGUAUUUUUAUAUUAAAUUGAUUAAAAUAUGAAUAAAAAAUUUAAAAACUAAAAAUUAAAAAUUAAACUCUCUCUCUCUCCCUCUCUAUCCCGAUUUGUACUCCCCCCAAACUUAACUUUUUUUUUGGUUGGUUUUAUUUUUAUUUUUAAUUGUUAUUUUAAAGAUAUGAUUUUUUAUUCAAUUUUUUGGUUUUAACAUAAAAAUACCAUUUUACCCUUGCAUUUAACAGAAAAAGUUAACAAAAUUGAAGGUUCUUUGUCCUAAUGAAAGUGAAGUUAAAGGACCACGGGAACGAUUUUGGAAAUUUAGAGACUCAAAUACAAAUCGGGUCUAAGUUUAAGGACUAAUAAAACAAUUAACCCCACUAACUCUAAUAUGUUUUUUUUUUUUUUUCCGUCAAAGUAACUAUAUUUCAAAGAGUGCAUAGCGGCCACAGCACUCGCAGCACAACAGCAACACCAGCCACAGUGGGCUUUAGGUAACGCUGUUUUGAUACUACUUUUUAGCUACAGAAUUGGGAUAUUUUUUUUGUCAAGAAAGAAACCCCUUGAGUUUCGAACUUGGGUGCAAUGGGGGGAGGGGGGAAUCCACCACCAUUGUGGUGGAUAUUGGGAUCUUUGCUAGAAUGCCAGUUAUAGUUUUUUAGAAUUUUUAUCAGCAAAUCGGAUGUAUUUACAAAAUAAAUUGGUUUCAAGUAUAAAUUAAUGCAAGUUUUUGAAUGGAUAGAGAUGAAGAUUGAGAGAUAACUUACACUUCUGAUUCACUUACGGUGAGAGGUAGCUUGCACACUUCUGAUUCACUUUUGAAGCAAUUGUUCUCCUAUCAAUAUUGCUAAAAUGAGAGUGUGAGAAGAAAGGUUUUUGGUUUCAAUUGAAUUGAUUUCUUUGUAUCACUUACAGCAUAAUUUAUACAAGGAAAAGGCUUGCUAACGAAGCCCAAUAUUAAUUACAAGUGGGUAGAUGACAGCUGGUUUUGGGUUCCCAAUUCCUGGAGAUUGCAGCAACAGCCUCCCAAAGUCAAGCCAGACAACUAGCUAACAAUCAACUAGCUAACAAUCAACUAGCCAUAUUAGGUUUGACCCAAAAAAAAAAAAAAAAAAAAACACUAGCCAUAUUAGACAAUAAAAAGGCAAUACACAUGCAAUACAACGGCAAUAAAUUCAAUGGAUAAACCCACACCACAGUGAAGGAUAAAAGCCCCGCGGUGAAGGACAUAAAAGUUUGAUGGUUAAAAAGUGCAUUCAAUUCUGCAUUUGGUUGUGUUACUCUGAACUUUUAAAGUAGUUCUUAUAAUUUUAUUUUGUUCACAUGCAGGCUUUUCAUGUGUUUCAUACUUCCUGCCUUAUACACUGGAUACUUCUGUGUGAGGUUGAGAUUGCAAAUCAGUCAGCUAAUUCAAAAGUGAGAAGAAGAUCUAGGAGGAAAAAUGCAGCCAAGUGCAAUGGACAAGAUGGCCAGAUGAAAGCUUUGAGCACGCAAAUCCAUUCUGUAUUCUGCCAAGAGUGCCAGGGUACUGGUGCAAUCAUUGAUGGAGAUGACCUGGAGAAACCAAAUCUCCCUCUGUCUCAGGUUUGUACUUUGCAGGACAAUUUCUUAAUUGAAUCGUUGUCUUAUUAUUUAUACAUUUCCUUGCCUUUUUUCUUUUUCCUUAUUGGCCUUUUGUGUUGACUGAAGUAGUGGUUUCCCAAUUUGGGAGAAAAACAAUCAAGCACACGUUUUUAUUAUCAAUUUUUG
This 8406-nucleotide long non-coding RNA is filed under the name Prunus persica (peach). RNAcentral describes it as "long non-coding RNA (PPER_LNC003518)". The record is from RNAcentral. Lineage: Eukaryota; Viridiplantae; Streptophyta; Magnoliopsida; Rosales; Rosaceae.